CCCCUUCCCGUGCCGACAUGGCGGCCAUGGCGGCCCCGGGGGUGCGGCCGGCUGUGGGUGCCGGUGCUGUGGGUGCCGGUGCCGUGGGUGCCGGUGUGGUGCGCGGGGCCGAGGCCGAGGCGCUGUUCGAGGCGCACACGGCGGCGGAGCUGCGGGCGGUGGAGCGGCGGCUCCGCGCCGGUAUCGAGCAGAAGCGGGAGGAGCUGCGGCAGAUGGUGGGCGAGCGCUACCGCGACCUCAUCGAGGCUGCCGACACCAUCGCCGAGAUGCGGCGGAGCGCCGAGCGCCUGCUGGGCGCCGUGCGGGGGCUGCAGCGCGGCUCGGCCCGGCCCGGCCCCGCCGGCACGGUUCACCCCCCAGCCCAGCAGAGUUUUUACGGGGCUGCGGCGCAGCUGAAGCUGCUGCUGGAGGUUCCCGAGCAGGUGUGGGGGGCUGUGGAAGGCGGCCGCUACCUGCCCGCGGCCCGGCUCCACCUGCUCGGGGCUCAGCUGCGCCGGCAGCUGCAGCUGGACACCCCCCGAGCCCGCUCCAGCCCCAUCCUCGCCCGCUUCCCCAUCCUGCUGCGGCAAGUGGCGGCUGCCAGCCACCUCAGAUCCACCAUCCUGCAGGAGAGCAAGGCGCUGCUGCGCUGCCGGACGGGCUCGGACCAGGCGGUGGCAGAAGCUCUGUGUGCCAUCAUGCUGCUGGAGGACAGCUCCCCACGGCAGGCCCUGGCUGACUUUCUGCUGGCCAGGAAACUUGCCAUCCAGCAGCUGCUCAACCAGCCCCACCACGGUGCAGGUAUCAAAGCUCAGGUGUGUUCCCUGAUGGAGCUGCUCACCACCACGCUGUACCAGGCCCACGCUCUCUUCUACACCGUGCCCGAGGGGAUGGCCCCGGAGCCAGCCCUGCCCUGUGGAUUGCUCUUCUCCACCCUGGAGAGCACCACGGGCCAGAACCCCGCAGGGAAAGGAGGGGUGCUGGAGGAGGAUCUGAAGCUGAGCAGCUGGUUCAAGUACCUGCCCGAGUCCGUGGUGGAAUUCCAGCCGGCCCUGCGGACCCUGGCACACCCCAUCAGCCAGGAGUACCUCAGGGAGACCCUGCAGCAGUGGAUCAACAUGUGCAGUGAUGACAUCAGGACAGGGGUCAGGACCCUGCUGGUGUACGUGAAGAGCAUGAAGGGGCUGGCAGGGAUCCGUGACGCCGUGUGGGAGCUGCUGUCCAGCGACUCCAGCAGCCACAACUGGGAGGCCGUGUGCCGGCGCCUGCUGGACAGGCCCGUGUCCUUCUGGGAGGAGCUGCUGCAGCAGCUGUUCCUGGACAGGCUGCAGACUCUGACCAAAGAAGGCUUUGACUCCAUUUCAGGCAGCUCCAAGGAGCUGCUGGCUGUAGCCUUGCAGGAACUGGAGGUGAAAGCUGGCAGCGGUGCCCUGAGCAAGCAGACGCAGCUGGAACACAACGUGGCCCUGUUCCUGUGGUCAGAGAGCCCCGGGGACCUGCCCGGGGACGCAGCGUGGGUGAGCGUGGGGCAGCGCGGGCCCUUCGCCAGGAGCGGGCUGGCCAUGAAGGCGCAGGCGCUCACCCCGUGCGUGCAGAGCUUCUGCUCCACGCUGGACUCCAAGCUGAAGGCCAGGCUGGAGGAUGUCCUGUCCUACCUCCCCGGGGACGACUGUGUCCCCAAGGAGCCGGCGGUGCCGGCGCGCCCCGCCUUCGACCGCUUCGCCGACGCCGGCACCGUGCAGGGGCUGCUCCGUGAGCGCUGCAUCGCCUGCACCCAGCACCUCCUGGGCUGCGUCCGGGAGCAGCUCCAGAGCCGGCUGGACACCCCUGGGGACGCCAAGCUCCACGCUGUGCUCUUCAUGGCCAGGCUGUGCCAGGCCCUGCCCGAGCUGUGCCCUCACCUGCAGCGCUGUGUGCUGGGCCAGGCGGGCGGCGCCGCCUCGGCGCCCAAGGAGCCGCGCUCGGCCAAGAAACUGGGCAAGGGCAAAGCCCAGGAAGUGUCCCCCGAGCUGGCCAAGUGGCAGGGGCUGAAGGCAGAGCUCCUGCAGCAGAGCCUGCUGGCUUAUCAGCUCUGGAGCUCGGCUGUCACCAAAGGUCUGGUUCAGUGCUUCACCCACACUUUGCUGCUCGACACAGCUGGGUCUGUCCUGGCCACGGCCACCAACUGGGAUGAGAUUGAAAUCCAGGAGGAAACCGAGUCUGGGAGCAGUGUGACAUCAAAGAUCCGGCUGCCUGUGCAGCCCUCGUGGCACGCGCAGUGCCUCCUGUUCAGCCUGUGCCAGGAGGUGAACAGGGUGGGUGGGCACACCCUGCCCAAGGUGACGCUGCAGGAGCUGCUGAGGAGCUGCAUGGCAGAGGUGCUGGCUGCCUAUGAAAAGCUGGUGGAGCAGAAGCAGGAGAAGAGGCCGGACAGCUUCCCCCUGACCCAGAGCAGAGCUCUGCAGUUACUCUACGACCUGAGGUACCUCAGCAUCAUCCUGACAGCCAAGAGCGAGGACACAAAACCCAGCAGGAUCAAGCAGGACUCUGGCAUUGAGAAGGUCAUGGACUUCCUGGAGGGACACAUCGAUCCCUUCGACCUGGAUGUCUUCACCCCACACCUGAACAGCAACCUGAACCGCCUGGUGCAGAGAACCUCGGUUCUCUUUGGCCUGCUGACUGGGACAGAGAACCAGUACACGAGCAGGGGCAGCGCUCUGAGCUCGCAGGAGCUCCACAACAUCCUGCCCUUAGCAUCCAGCCAGAUCAGGUUUGGACUGUUGCCACUGAGCAUGUCGAGCUCACGGAAGAGCAAGUCCAGUGCCAGGAGCACAGAAAGAGCCCAGUGAAAGGAAUCAUUAUGGCAGCACAGCAGGGGAUGGGGGGGAUUUCCCCAGGACCCUCCAAACCCCACCCUUUGCCCAAAAGCGUGGUUUUGGGGCCACUGCUGUGUGGCAGAGCAGGCAGUGAGGGUUUACAUGGCUGAGGGCAAUGCAUCAGAGACAACUCAUUGAACAGGGCUGCAGGAAAGGCUGAAGGACAGUAGCUAAUGCUUGGACUCCUUUCCAGUGGGAUGCUGCCCUGUAAGCCCCGAGGAGGCCUGGCCAGGAGCGGUGACACCUCCAGGAUUGUCAGGGUUUCCCAUCCUCGGGCAGAGCAGGGCGUGUCACGGGAAGCAGGCACAGCUUGGAUUGUCCUUGUCCCCUGGCUGCUGGAACAGAGGUGGAGCUGCUUUUUCACCUCCUAUCCUUACAUUGUUGAAAUCAAAUUAAAGAAAUAAAAUAAUAAUAAUAAUAAUAAAAAAAAAACCAGCCAAAACAACCUACACACUAAGAGAAAACAUUUCACAGCUGGAAAGGGUGCUGGAGCAGGGUAGGACACCUGUAUCCUCCAGGCUCUGAGUGGCCCCUGCAGCACCUGCCCGACCUGUCCUGGCUCUAAUUUCACAUUUCCCUUCCAGUCCUGCAGCAGUGAAGCUCAUGAGAGAACUCACCCCGAGCUGGGUGGGAGCUCCCAGGCCUAAAGGACCUGCACUCGCUGCUCCUAUUCUCACUAACUCUAAAUGCUCAAAAAAUUAUGUUGCCAAAUCAUUUUUUAACUAGUUUAUUGAAAUUAAAAAAAGACUUAUAAAACUGAAGAGGAACGCUUAAGAGAACUUUACAGAAAGCAACAACUUGCUAACAAACAGAUUAGGCAGUCGAUUGGAAUUGGACAGUUUGCAAUCCUAUAACACACAUGUGGACUCCUCAGUCUCCUCUUGCCACGUACUUUAGAACCACCCCAAAAAGAAUCCUAUAAAAAUUGCUCCAAAGCCCCUUUUGCAUUGCAAUAGUGCAGCAAACCACAAGUAAACAAUCUCCUGUUAACCUGUUAUUUCAAAUAUAGACUGAAAAGGCAACAGGCAAUUUUGUGCAAUUCCAU
This is an RNA transcript of Parus major (Great Tit), 3879 nucleotides long. It is a transcript of the gene named component of oligomeric golgi complex 1, with no coding region annotated. The transcript has 15 exons. The record is from RefSeq and is a predicted model, not a curated record. NCBI's taxonomy places the organism in Eukaryota, Metazoa, Chordata, Aves, Passeriformes, Paridae.